AAUUUUCCCACAACAAAAACGGGUCUUCCAAACUUGAGCGCCAAUUUCAAUUUUUGUCAAAUUUUAAGAAAACUUGAAUUUCCCUCUCACUGCUAAUUAACCAACCCGCUGCAACUCGUCCAUCCCUCCCAACCAACGUAAAACCACGGAAACAACCCACCUCAAAUAUUCGUACACCCACACAUCUAAUUUCCGUCAAAACAUAAACUAAGUUGGCACCUUUAGCUCACCUCAAAUUUUCAUAAAAUUUAAAUUUCCCUCCCUAGUGUAUACGGCAUUACACGCUGCAAACAUUCCUCUUGAUCUUAUUUCUUCCUUUUGCAUCUAGGUUUCAAAGUAUCAGCCUAGGAGUUACCAGCACCACACACGCCUUCUCCUGGUCUCCACACCGUUCGAAACCAGCCUCCAUCUAUGAUGCUCUGUUUUGCUGCCCAAAAACAGAGUUUUUUUGACUGAAAACGCACUGCCCUGAAGCCACUGGCCCGCUGGUUGCUGCUGCUGCAAACGACGCCUUUGACGACAGUAGAAUAUGAUGCUCAUGCAACUUGAUGGGGGGAAGAUGAAGUGGCAUGGGUAGAAUGCACUCACUUUGUCCAGCUGUGUGGUCAAAGCAUAGACAAGGGAUUGAAAAAAAUGUAAAAGGAAGAUUACAUAACUCGUUGUGUAGUUAUCAAGUAACAUGGAGGCUCAACAAUUGCACCACAAUUUCAAAGAACUAUUGGAUAAAUGUGAAGAACUACCUAUGAAAGAAAUGCUUCUAAAGCUAAUGACAAACAAAACGUGAAGAAGAAGAAUUAUCCAUGGGGAACUUUUAUGUGUUUUGAUUUGUAAUUUUUUUAUUAUAUGAAUAGUGGCCCAUUAUAUUAUAUUUAUUAUUAAUUAAUAUAUUAUAUAUUUUUUAUUGUGGGAUAUCAUAUUAUUGGUAUGUCCUAAAUUUUGUUAAUUAAUGCAAAGCACUGGUAAUAUAUUUGUAGUGGUGUUUAUAUUAAUGUCAUUAAUUUAAAAAAU
This is a long non-coding RNA of Carya illinoinensis, 1008 nucleotides long. RefSeq lists it as uncharacterized. NCBI's taxonomy places the organism in Eukaryota, Viridiplantae, Streptophyta, Magnoliopsida, Fagales, Juglandaceae. The transcript is spliced from 3 exons. The record is from RefSeq and is a predicted model, not a curated record.